Molecule: long non-coding RNA, 332 nt
Filed under: Notechis scutatus (mainland tiger snake)
Lineage: Eukaryota; Metazoa; Chordata; Lepidosauria; Squamata; Elapidae
Description: lncRNA (ENSNSUG00000010183.1)
Source: RNAcentral
CUGUUUGAAAGUAUCUUUCCAGCUCUGUGUUGGAGUGUCUUUAAAUAUGACCAGCCCUGUGCAGAAAGCUUACAGGCUUUUUGUGGCAUCCUAAAGAGAGGGAUAUUGAAGGGAGCUGAUGCGGCUUUGAUCCUUAGGCUUGUUGUCAAAGUGCUUGGAAAUGAAGAGAGUGUUAGCUACAAUUGACUGUGACAAUUAGGAGAUGGUCAGAGCUCUAGAGUGGAACACUUAAAGGGGAGGAACCUGCUGUUACUUUACCGGCACUGCUGCUGCUCCCAUCAUAGAUGGCCAGGCUACCUCCCAGCUGCAGUAAGAAAGUAAGAAAGCUUAGG